AAUGUUUGACACCGUUGACUUUUUAGCACGUGUUUGACCAUUCGUCUUAUUCAAAAAAUUUAAGUAAUUAUUUAUUCUUUUCAUAUCAUUUGAUUCAUUAUUAAAUAUACUUUCAUGUACACAUAUAGUUUUACAUAUUUCACAAAAUUUUUUAAAUAAGACGAAUGGUCAAACACGUGCUAAAAAAUCAACGGUGUCAAACAUU
Non-coding RNA from Oryza nivara, 205 nucleotides. The record is from Rfam. Lineage: Eukaryota; Viridiplantae; Streptophyta; Magnoliopsida; Poales; Poaceae.